This is a long non-coding RNA of Pseudopipra pipra, 498 nucleotides long. RefSeq lists it as uncharacterized. The record is from RefSeq and is a predicted model, not a curated record. Lineage: Eukaryota; Metazoa; Chordata; Aves; Passeriformes; Pipridae. The transcript has 2 exons.
GGAGGUACCUGUGAGGUGGCAGGUUCACACACCAGCUCUGGUGCCCAGAGAGCCCCUGGAGGGUCCAGUGCUGCCAGGAGCUGGCAUUCCAGUUGGGAUUGCCAUGGGAGAGGAUGGAUCCCUUUGGAAUUGUAAAACACAUGCCCUUUGCUCCACCUUGGGAAGGCAGUGGCUGCUGGAGCACAGCCAAGCUCCCCCAGCAGGUAUAAACUGGCAUUUGAAAUCCUCCUUGGCAGAGGAGGAAAACACAACCACCUCACAUUCAAGUGCCUGGGCUUGCACCUCACUCCUCCGAGCAUCUCUUUGGUAAGAUUUGUGCCUCUGACUGUGUCAGAGGAUCCCUGGGAACACUUGCACAUGGUGCUACACAUUUAUAUUUUGGAGGUGUAGUGACCAGCAAUCUAAAAGAAUCUGUAGUCUGUUGCUCCAAUAAACUGCAUUAUUUGUGAAUCUGUUGUGAAAGUUCUUAUUGAACUCCACCAGACUCACAGUAUUGAA